CACCCCCAGUUUGGUCCCCACCCCCGCCAUCUCCUCCACCGCCACCCCCAGUGCGGUCUCCACCACCACCUCCACCACGAGGGCGGUCUCCACCACCACCUCCACCACGAGGCAGUAGACCACCCGUGAGGCCGCCUCCGCCUCGGCGAGGAGGGAGGAUAUAGCCUCCAUGCUCUCACACAGCUCGGAAAAAUGACGAAUAACAUGAAGAAAUAAAUGAAGAGAUCUAUGAAGACCUCAUCUAAUAAUUAAUGCAGAGAAUUAGAAAGCGAUCGUGAGUAUAUCCUAUUUACACUCUGUACUUAUCGGAAUAAAGGGGAAUAAAAAGUAAAUCUUAUGUUUUGUGAUAAUUGUAAGACAGAUCGAACUGCGGAUAUAAGAGGGAGGUACUCCAUGUCUUUAUGAUCAUCAACCCUCUUGUAAUAACAAAGAAAUAGAAUAUCAUAUCA
Punica granatum (pomegranate) is the source of this 449-nucleotide non-coding RNA. The record is from RefSeq and is a predicted model, not a curated record. NCBI's taxonomy places the organism in Eukaryota, Viridiplantae, Streptophyta, Magnoliopsida, Myrtales, Lythraceae.